This 258-nucleotide ribosomal RNA is filed under the name uncultured bacterium. Its description in RNAcentral is "partial 16S ribosomal RNA". It matches the Rfam family "Bacterial small subunit ribosomal RNA", at positions 15 to 283 of the family's 1533-position model. The record is from RNAcentral.
GAUCCUGGCUCAGAACGAACGCUGGCGGCAGGCUUAACACAUGCAAGUUGAACGGGAUUUGUAUGGUGCUUGCACCACGUAAUGGGAGUAGCGCACUGGUGAGUAACACGUGGGAACAUACCUUGAAGUGGGGGACAACAGUUGGAAACGACUGCUAAUACCGCAUAAUCCCUGAGGGGGAAAGAUUUAUCGCUUUAAGAUUGGCCCGCGGAAGAUUAGGUAGUUGGUGGGGUAAAGGCCUACCAAGCCGACGAUCUA